RNAcentral lists this ribosomal RNA (433 nucleotides) under uncultured bacterium. RNAcentral's name for it is "partial 16S ribosomal RNA". It matches the Rfam family "Bacterial small subunit ribosomal RNA", at positions 29 to 507 of the family's 1533-position model. The record is from RNAcentral.
AGCGAACGCUGGCGGCAGGCUUAACACAUGCAAGUCGAACGGGCACCCAUGUCGGUGUCGCUCUGGUGAGUAACGCGUGGGGACGUGUCCUGAGGUGGAUGGCAACCCCCGGUAACUGGGGCUAUUACCGCGUAUGAGCUGAGCCCCAAAGACAUACGGCGCCAUUGGAGCGGCCGGCGUCCGAUUAGGUAGUUGGUGGGGUAAAGGCCUACCAAGGCUGCGAUCGGUAGCUGGUCUGAGAGGACGACCAGCCACACUGGGACUGAGACACGGCCCAGACUCCUACGGGAGGCAGCAGUGGGGAAUCUUGGAAUAUGGGCGAAAGCCUGAUGCAGCAAUGCCGCGUGAGUGAAGAAGGUCUUAGGAUAGUAAAGCCCUUUCGACGGGGACGAUGAUGACGGUACCCGUAGAAGAAGCCCCGGCUAACUUCGUG